This 506-nucleotide ribosomal RNA is filed under the name uncultured bacterium. Its description in RNAcentral is "bacterial SSU rRNA". It matches the Rfam family "Bacterial small subunit ribosomal RNA", at positions 29 to 520 of the family's 1533-position model. The record is from RNAcentral.
AAUGAACGCUGGCGGCGUGCUUAACACAUGCAAGUCGAACGGAUUUUAGCAGAGUAUCGCUAGAAUUAGUGGCAGACGGGUGAGUAUCACGUGGGUGAUCUACCCUUAAGAGGGAAAUAACUUGCCGAAAGGCGAGCUAAUGUCCCAUAAGACCACGUGCUUUCCUACGAAAGCAUGGGGCCAAAGUUCCGUAAGGAACACUUGAGGAUGAGCCUGUGUCCUAUCAGCUAGUUGGUGAGGUAAUGGCCCACCAAGGCUAAGACGGGUAUCCGACCUGAAAGGGUGACCGGACACACUGGAACUGAGACACGGUCCAGACUCCUACGGGAGGCAGCAGUGGGGAAUUUUGGACAAUGGGGGCAACCCUGAUCCAGCAACGCCGCGUGAAGGAUGAAGGUCUUCGGAUUAGUAACUUUCUUUUAUAGGGGACGAAUCUGUCCGUGAAUAACGGACCCUGACGGUACCCUGUGAAUAAGCCACGGCUAACUACGUGCCAGCAGCCGCUG